RNAcentral lists this transfer RNA (71 nucleotides) under Rhodovulum sp. Its description in RNAcentral is "tRNA-Arg". RNAcentral also lists the same sequence under 1 other name. The record is from RNAcentral. Lineage: Bacteria; Pseudomonadati; Pseudomonadota; Alphaproteobacteria; Rhodobacterales; Paracoccaceae.
GGCCCGGUGGCGGAAGGGCGACGCGGGGAAUGCCGAAUUCCCACAUCCUGGUUCGAAUCCAGGCUGGGCCU